Nycticebus coucang (slow loris) is the source of this 1392-nucleotide RNA transcript. It is a transcript of the gene named 60S ribosomal protein L30-like, with no coding region annotated. The transcript is spliced from 2 exons. The record is from RefSeq and is a predicted model, not a curated record. Lineage: Eukaryota; Metazoa; Chordata; Mammalia; Primates; Lorisidae.
UUUCAAUUAAUAACAAUCACACCUUGUAGUUGUAGACUUUGUGGUUUAUUUUUAAAAAAGAAAAAAUAAUUACACCUUGGAUAAACCUUGUUUAUCAAAUACUACAAUGUUGCCAUACAUUGCCUACAAUACUGUCACUGUAUAAAGUUCUGUUUAAAUUAAAAAAAAAAAAUGUUGCUGGGUGGGACAGCGCCUGUGGCUCAGUGGGUAGGGUGCUAGCCCCAUAUACCGAGGGUGGCAGGUUCGAACCAGCCUUGGCCAGUUAAAACACAACGAGAAUUCCAACAAAAUAUAGCCAGGUGUUGUGGCGGGUGCCUGUAGUCCCAGCUACUUGGGAGACUGAGGCAAGAGAAUUGCUUAAGCCCAAGUGUUGGAGGUUCCUAUGAGCAGUGACGUCACAGCUCUCUACUGAGGGUGACAAAAUGAGGCUCUGUCUCAAAAAAAAAAAAAAAAAAAGUUGCUGGAGACAGAGGCUCACACCUGUAAUCCUAGCACUUUGGGAGACUGCGGUGGAUGGAUCACCUGAGGUCAGAAGUUCGAGACCAGCCUGAGCAAGAUCAAGAUCCCAUCAAGAUCAGCUAAAAAAAAAUAGCUGAGCAGGGGCAGCACCUGUGGCUCAGUGAGCAGGGCGCUGGCCCCAUAUACCGAAGGUGGCGGGUUCAAACCCAGCCCCUGCCAAACUGCAACAACAACAACAAAAAAAAGGCUGAGCAUUGUGCUGGGUGCCUAUAGUCUCAGCUACUUGGGAGGCUGAGGCAAUCCUCUUGCUAUGAGUUUGAGUCUGCUGUGACUCAGUUUCUUUACAUUAUGGCACUCUACCGAGGGUGACAAACUAAGACUGUCUCAAAAAAAAAAAAAAAGUUGAAUAAUUGUACAUUCAUAGGAAGUUGCAAAAGAUAAAUGUGUAUGUAUGAAUAAGGACAUCUGGUGUAUCUUUCACCUAAUGUCCCUAUUAAAAUCAGGAAAUUAGCCUUUCUUGCUCCCCAGCCAUCUUGGUGGCUGGUCUUGGUUGGGGGCUGUCCCGCAUCUAGGGCAGGAAGAUGGUGGCCGCAAAGAAGAUGAAAAAGUAGCUGGAGUCGAUCAACUAGAGGCUCCAGCUCCUUAUGAAAAGUGGAAAGUAUGUGCUGGGGUACAAGCAGACUUUGAAGAUGAUCAGACAAGCCAAAGCGAAAUUGGUCAUCCUCGCCAACAACUGCCCAGCUUUGAGGAAAUCUGAAAUAGAGUAUUAUGCCAUGUUAGCCAAAACUAGUGUUCAUCACUACAGUGGCAAUAAUAUUGAAUUGGGCACAGCAUGUGGAAAAUACUACAGAGUGUGCACACUGGCCAUCAUUUAUCCAGGUGACUCUGAUAUUAUUAGAAGCAUGCCAGAACAGACUGGUGAAAAGUAAAUCA